RNAcentral lists this ribosomal RNA (250 nucleotides) under uncultured bacterium. RNAcentral's name for it is "partial 16S ribosomal RNA". It matches the Rfam family "Bacterial small subunit ribosomal RNA", at positions 796 to 1041 of the family's 1533-position model. The record is from RNAcentral.
CUGGCAGUAAACGGUGCACGUUUGGUAUGGGCGCAAUCGACCGCGCCCGUGCCGGAGCUAACGCGUUAAACGUGCCGCCUGGGAAGUACGGUCGCAAGAUUAAAACUCAAAGAAAUUGACGGGGACCCGCACAAGCGGUGGAGUAUGUGGCUUAAUUCGAUGCAACGCGAAGAACCUUACCUGGUCUUGACAUGCAUUGUGUCUCCGCUGAAAGGCGGAUAGCGUAGCAAUACGCGCUUUGCACAGGUGC